Molecule: long non-coding RNA, 681 nt
Organism: Parus major (Great Tit)
Lineage: Eukaryota; Metazoa; Chordata; Aves; Passeriformes; Paridae
Exons: 3
Source: RefSeq, a predicted model, not a curated record
AGCUCCUGCCCUUGUUGUGGAGGUUUGUGCCUCUGAUCCAGGCUCACUGUGGUGCUGAUGGAGCUGAGCCCAUUCAAGGCUUGCUGUGCUGUUGUGGGACUGUUCUCGACAUGCAACUGCUUUCUGUAAAGGUAGCUCAGCUGCCUCUGAGCUCUGGGCUGUCCUGCAGUGCACACACAUUCCCUGGGAGAGGUUCUAAUGGCUCAGAAGGAAAUGCUACUGGCCCUAACACAUAUUUGAAGAACAAGUCUAGUGAGCAUACAAAUAUUUUUCAGGUGUCAAGAGAAUGCAUACUGCCAUCUAAGAAACAUACAAAGGGCCUGAUUUCUGGAAGUAGGGGAUGAGGAGUUCCUCUGUCGAAAAUUCAUUUCAGCCCAUUCUGUUUUCCUCAGAAACCACACGGGAGCAGUGUGGUCCAGCCUUUGAGAAAGGAACUGCUAGUCUUUCCUCUGGUGCCUGAACUCAUCUGUCAGAGGAUGUCUCAGUCUGAGAUAUAAGAACACAAAACUGAUGACAAGUAAAAUAUUUCACAGAAUAUCCAUCUUUCACUUUGCAAAUACUCCUUUGUGAGAAAUCAGAUUGUCGGUAAGGGCUACUCAGUAUACUUUCCAUAUUGAAUGAAAUAAAGAAUAAAGGCUGUAUUUUGUGCUGUUGCGGUCUGUGAUUGGAUAAUUUGAAGUA